ACAUCCCUUCUGUCUGCACCU
This 21-nucleotide microRNA is filed under the name Ornithorhynchus anatinus (platypus). Its description in RNAcentral is "Oan-Mir-1380_5p* (star (passenger))". Lineage: Eukaryota; Metazoa; Chordata; Mammalia; Monotremata; Ornithorhynchidae. The record is from RNAcentral.